Molecule: ribosomal RNA, 164 nt
Filed under: Planchonella cinerea
Lineage: Eukaryota; Viridiplantae; Streptophyta; Magnoliopsida; Ericales; Sapotaceae
Description: 5.8S ribosomal RNA
Rfam family: 5.8S ribosomal RNA
About the family: 5.8S ribosomal RNA (5.8S rRNA) is a component of the large subunit of the eukaryotic ribosome. It is transcribed by RNA polymerase I as part of the 45S precursor that also contains 18S and 28S rRNA. Functionally, it is thought that 5.8S rRNA may be involved in ribosome translocation.
Source: RNAcentral
UAACGACUCUCGGCAACGGAUAUCUCGGCUCUCGCAUCGAUGAAAAACGUAGCGAAAUGCGAUACUUGGUGUGAAUUGCAGAAUCCCGUGAACCAUCGAGUCUUUGAACGCAAGUUGCGCUCGAAGCCAUUAGGCCGAGGGCACGUCUGCCUGGGCGUCUCACA